Long non-coding RNA from Tupaia belangeri chinensis (Chinese tree shrew), 898 nucleotides. RefSeq lists it as uncharacterized. The transcript has 3 exons. The record is from RefSeq and is a predicted model, not a curated record. NCBI's taxonomy places the organism in Eukaryota, Metazoa, Chordata, Mammalia, Scandentia, Tupaiidae.
CAUCUGUGAGAGGUCCCCGGCGUCGGCCAGCUCCAGCACGAUGUUCAGCUCGUUGUCCUCGAUGAAGGAGUCCAGCUUCUGGUGAGCUCAGUGCCUGGAAGGGACACGCUCAGCCCAGGGACUCAGCGCUACAAGCUGUGCACCGGGAAUGAACCGAGUUCAGGGUGUGCUCAGCUGCUGGCAUAGCCAUCACCAUCUCACCCCACGGAGCUCUGCUGACCAGGAUGCAAGAUGACCGCCACCGCCACAGUCAGGCACUGUGGGUAAGGGACACUUCGUCACCCGCUGUCCAGGUGUGCACCUGCCCUCGCUGCCCUUGGCCUCCCUCAUGCCCUUCCCCAGGCCAUGGGGUCCCUUAACUUCCCCCAACGGGAGAGGAUAUGGAGCCGAGGGGCUGGGAGGUCACCGACCCCAUGGCACCCACCCCACACUCCGCUGCCAGUCCCACCGGGCCCAAGGGAGGAGGCCUGAGCUGCCUGGGGUGACAGGUCAGAUCUGAGGGAGGAGAGGGAGGGCAAAGCCUCAACCCUGGUCAGCGGAGAAAACCUGGAGGUGGCCGAGGUCCCAGGGUCACCUUGCUCCGAACUCGCCCUGUGGAGAAAUGCUGUCGAGGCAGGCAGCUGGGGAAACGGGUGGGGUGGGGGGGAUCGCGGACCAUCUGGGCCACCCCCAUCCAGAAAGCGCCGAGAAACCCAGGCUGUCUUUCCCAAGACAGAUCAAAUUAGGCCACAAACACCCCCACCCUGUGCUAAUUUGAGUUUAAAAUGUUUGAACCAAAAUAAGCUUCAGACAUCGACGAAUCCUCUUUUUAUUUUCUUAAACAGGAGCAUAAAAUUACAUGUUAAAAGAAUAAAAAUGCAUUCGCCCAAUUAAUUUUCUGAAAUCUCAUUAAAAAAUU